CUUAGUCCCUGAAGAAAAGCAUCAAAUGGGAGGUUAAAACACAAACCAAUGCUCCAAAUGUAAGCAGGUGCCUUCUUACUAUAGCGACUAACAGUAGAAGAACCAAACCCCAUGACCACCCUCUCAAUCACCUUCAUCAUCAAUCCCACAAACUACAUUUUACAACUUUCAACAAAAAUCUCCAAAAAAUGGUAUUUGCAAGGCUAAGACAAUGAAGCAAGGGAACUGCUCUCACCUUUCUAGAAGAACAGAGGAACGUCUUCUAGGGACGAGACAUAGGCAACGGACGUGUUAAGAAGGUUGGCUCUCAGAUCCAGAGACACCUUGUGCUUGGAGCCCAGCAGAGCCUGAAGCAUAGCGUCGGCCGACAUGCGC
Long non-coding RNA from Sinocyclocheilus anshuiensis, 375 nucleotides. RefSeq lists it as uncharacterized. The transcript is spliced from 3 exons. The record is from RefSeq and is a predicted model, not a curated record. NCBI's taxonomy places the organism in Eukaryota, Metazoa, Chordata, Actinopteri, Cypriniformes, Cyprinidae.